UGGGGAAUAUUGCACAAUGGGCGCAAGCCUGAUGCAGCGACGCCGCGUGGGGGAUGAAGGCCUUCGGGUUGUAAACCCCUUUCAGCAGGGAAGAAGCGAAAGUGACGGUACCUGCAGAAGAAGCGCCGGCUAACUACGUGCCAGCAGCCGCGGUAAUACGUAGGGGACGAGCGUUGUCCGGAAUUACUGGGCGUAAAGGGCGCGCAGGCUGUGCUGAAAGUCAGCUGUGAAAUGUCUGGGCUUAACCCGGGCAUGCGGUUGAGACUGCAGUGCUGGAGUGCUGUAGAGGCAAGUGGAAUUCCCAGUGUAGCGGUGAAAUGCGUAGAUAUUGGGAAGAACACCGGUGGCGAAGGCGACUUGCUGGGCAGCAACUGACGCUGAGGCGCGAAAGCCAGGGGAGCAAACGGG
RNAcentral lists this ribosomal RNA (408 nucleotides) under uncultured prokaryote. Its description in RNAcentral is "bacterial SSU rRNA". It matches the Rfam family "Bacterial small subunit ribosomal RNA", at positions 355 to 776 of the family's 1533-position model. The record is from RNAcentral.